CUGGUGUGAGAGGUGUGCCGUUCUUCUGUGAAGUCUGCACUGGGGGAGUAUGAAAGUCCAGUUGGAAAAGCUGAGCCCUCAGAACACAGAACAUUUGCAGGCACAACACUUACAGAAAAGAUGUAUGUGUAAGGCUUAGAUCUGCAAACAAACCCUUAGAGCUCUACGUCACUGCACUCCCAGAAAGUCUCCGUGUUCCCAUAUUCAGUGUUUGUAUAUUGCACUUUGAAGCCCACUUUGCUAUAUGAGGGGGUGGCGGAGCAAACCCCCCUGGGUCUCAAAUGCAAAAUCAGGGAUUCUUUUGGCCCCAGCCUCCAGCCACAAGGCUCGGAGCCCGCGGGGUGAGCACUGCGAGGAGCCCACAGAGCUUCUUGUGAUUUGUUGCGGGUUGGAGUGGGGGGAGAGGCCUUUUCCAUAAAAGUCUACUUCAGGGUGCAGUGGGAUGGGUGCUGGUGACCACGUGAGGGGUUUUCAUUUGCAGCUGGGAGAAGACAGCACACACUGCCAUAGAAGCCGGGUUACAGAUCCUCUAGCUUAUGCCUUUAUCAACUAUUCGAGUUACCAAUUAUUAGAUUCCACCACGACUUUAUGAAGGCCUGUACCAUGAGCCCUCUGGGCCCUACCUUAGCAAUGACAUUUUGAAAGGUAAAAGAAGAGACAGAGAAUGUGCUUCCUCCCCUCUAGUGUCGGCUCCCACUGGCUGCAAGAAUUUCUGUGGUUUGCAUCUGGGAAGGAGCGAUCGGCAGGAGGGCAGGAUUUGGGCAGCUGCUUGCCCACCCUUCAGCCUCAGAUGGACUUCGAUCCAGGAAUGGCACAGCAUCCAUCCAGGAGGAUAUGGGUCUUUUCCCCAUGGGCUAGUCAACAGUAGGAACUCAGAAAUGUUUGGAGGAUAACCAUGUGCACGAGUAAAUGAAAAGCUGCUUGGGAAGUCACCAGUGCAAACCAGACGCCAUCAUCAUAAUCAGUGGGCAUAAUGGCUGCAUUUCAUGGGCUGAGAUUGGCCAUAAAGAAGACCUCUUAGGGGGAGACAUAUUAAAGUCUGGG
This 1044-nucleotide long non-coding RNA is filed under the name Felis catus (domestic cat). Its description in RNAcentral is "lncRNA (ENSFCAG00000049485.1)". The record is from RNAcentral. Lineage: Eukaryota; Metazoa; Chordata; Mammalia; Carnivora; Felidae.